AAUAGAUACCCUGGUAGUCCACCCCGUAAACGUUGGGAACUAGUUGUGGGGACCAUUCCACGGUUUCCGUGACGCAGCUAACGCAUUAAGUUCCCCGCCUGGGGAGUACGGCCGCAAGGCUAAAACUCAAAGGAAUUGACGGGGACCCGCACAAGCGGCGGAGCAUGCGGAUUAAUUCGAUGCAACGCGAAGAACCUUACCAAGGCUUGACAUAUAGAGGAAACGACUGGAAACAGUCGCCCCGCAAGGUCUCUAUACAGGUGGUGCAUGGUUGUCGUCAGCUCGUGUCGUGAGAUGUUGGGUUAAGUCCCGCAACGAGCGCAACCCUCGUUCUAUGUUGUCAGCACGUAAUGGUGGGAACUCAUGGGAUACUGCCGGGGUCAACUCGGAGGAAGGUGGGGAUGACGUCAAAUCAUCAUGCCCCUUAUGUCUUGGGCUUCACGCAUGCUACAAUGGCCGGUACAAAGGGCUGCAAUACCGUAAGGUGGAGCGAAUCCCAAAAAGCCGGUCCCAGUUCGGAUUGAGGUCUGCAACUCGACCUCAUG
This 545-nucleotide ribosomal RNA is filed under the name uncultured bacterium. Its description in RNAcentral is "bacterial SSU rRNA". It matches the Rfam family "Bacterial small subunit ribosomal RNA", at positions 777 to 1322 of the family's 1533-position model. The record is from RNAcentral.